GUAGUUCGUGUUUCAUUAUUUUGGUUUUCUUCCUUCUCACACUUCUUCUCUCCGCACCCAAUCAAACACACACUCUCUCCCCCCUCUCUCUCUCUCUCUCUCUCUCUCUUCCAGUGAUCAGGGGAUCGCGUCGGCGGCGAUUCCCUACCCUGUUUCGCCGUCCACCUUUCAAUUCGACUCUCUCGCUUUCGCUUUUCUGAUUCCCUCUAUGAAAGUGCUUCCCGUCGCUUGCUAGGGUUUCCCAACUCUCAAAUCCGCUUCCCCGAAAGCACCCUGUACCUUUUCUUUCUGCGAUUAAUCAACUUCGUAGUUAUGGCUAUCCGGGUUACCUUCUCCUUCUCUGGCUACGUGGCCCAGAAUCUCGCGUCCUCCGCCGGCGUCCGCGUCGCCAAUUCGCGAUGCGUCCAAGAAUGCUGGAUCCGCACGCGCCUCUUCGGCGCCACCCAGAAAACGGAACUAGAUUCUUCCGCCGGCGGAGUCCGAAAUUUCUCCAGGCCCAACUGCUGGGCCCAGUCCACUUACUCCACCCUCGCCGGUGAGUUUCUCGGCGACGGCUUCAAGAGCCCAAUCAUCUUGGGCCUGAUUUCAGUUAUGAAGUCAACGGCGGGUGUGUCUGGGUCAUCCGCGGCGGCUGCGGGUAUUUUCGGUAUUUCUCCCUUUAAAACAAAUUCCAUUAUUCCCUUCUUGCCCGGUUCGAAGUGGCUUCCUUGCAACGAGUCCAUUCCCGACGCCACCUCGUGGGAGGUCGAUAAAGGUGGCACGAAACACACCGUUCCGAACGAUGUUCCCGGUUUUGGAAAAACUAGUUGGCUUUCGCGGCUUUUGAACAUGUCUUCUGAAGAUGCGAAGGCUGCGUUCACUGCCAUUACCGUUAGUUUGCUGUUUAAAUCGUCUUUGGCUGAACCUAGAUCCAUUCCCUCCGCUUCUAUGUAUCCUACUCUUGAAGUGGGUGACCGUGUUUUAACCGAGAAGGUUUCGUUCCUCUUCAGGAAGCCCGAUGUUUCGGAUAUAGUGAUUUUUAAAGCGCCUCCUUCUUUGGAGGAUUAUGGUUUUACUUCGUCUGAUGUAUUUAUAAAGAGGAUUGUGGCUAAGGCAGGGGAUUGUGUUGAGGUUCGAGAUGGGAAACUACUGGUAAAUGGUGUUGCUGAAGAACAGGAAUUUGUAUUAGAACCUCUAGCUUAUGAGAUGGAUCCAAUGGUUGUGCCAGAAGGAUAUGUGUUUGUAAUGGGAGAUAACCGGAAUAACAGCCUUGAUUCUCACAACUGGUAAUUUCUCAGCCCUUUUCGAACUGACUUUCUCUUGUUUAUGCUGGAAGAUAUUUUAGUAUAGGUCGACGACAGAUUUUGGCCCAUUUGUUGAUGCUGUUCUUCUCAAAACAAUCUAGCUUAUGGGGCCCCUCCCAAUCGAGAACAUUGUUGGUAGAUCCAUGUUUAGGUACUGGCCUCCAUCUAAGGUGUCUGACUCUGACACCCUUCGUAAACUGCCUCCUAAGAACAAAUCUGUGGCAAUUUCUUGACAUGAUUCCAGCUGCUUUCUGAUCUGAGGGUGAUGAAGGUUUCCAGAUACUUUCAUAUGUUGUAAAUUGAUAGCUUCUCCUGUUUUUGCCCGGGAAUGAGCUUUCAAUUCAAAGAUUCUCUAAGAAGAGCCUGCGUGAGCUGGCUCUGCAUACAGUUUGGGAUGAAUAUCGUAUUCAUUGAUACAAAUUUGUCAAUGACCUAAUAAUACCAUUAUGCGUUCUUUAGUGCCAUCCGAGUCAAAUGUGUUUCUCUUUGCUGAAGUACGGGGGAGAAAAAACAAAGAAUUCCAAAUGCAUGGUAUGAUUUUACCCCAUAUAAUGGAACAUGAUGAUUGAUUUGUUUUGUAUUCUUUCAUGUAUGUAUACUAUCUGAAUGCUUGUUAGUUCCAUAAUCAAGCCUCCUCGUAAUUUGAAUCUGUAAUGUCAUUCAGUCAUACAUGAAAUUGUAUGGCACAAAUUGGUUGCCUAUUUUAAAAUCAA
Molecule: RNA transcript, 1996 nt
Organism: Vigna unguiculata (cowpea)
Lineage: Eukaryota; Viridiplantae; Streptophyta; Magnoliopsida; Fabales; Fabaceae
Gene name: putative thylakoidal processing peptidase 2, chloroplastic
Source: RefSeq, a predicted model, not a curated record